Molecule: long non-coding RNA, 201 nt
Filed under: Elaeis guineensis (African oil palm)
Lineage: Eukaryota; Viridiplantae; Streptophyta; Magnoliopsida; Arecales; Arecaceae
Description: long non-coding RNA (EGUI_LNC068311)
Source: RNAcentral
CUUCUCUCAAAGUCUAACUUGCACUUCAUGGGAAAGGAUUUUCAUUUAAGCAAAAGAUCUUGUCUCACAUAUCCAAUGCUGGACUAAAAAAAGAUGACGCUUUAAAACAUUAAUUUAUUUUUUAAAAUUUAAAUAUUUUUCAAAUUAAAAUUUCAAUAGUUGUAGAUAGGGUUGCGAGAAAGGGAUAUCACAAUUCACCAG